RNAcentral lists this ribosomal RNA (468 nucleotides) under uncultured bacterium. RNAcentral's name for it is "partial 16S ribosomal RNA". It matches the Rfam family "Bacterial small subunit ribosomal RNA", at positions 28 to 507 of the family's 1533-position model. The record is from RNAcentral.
GACGAACGCUGGCGGCGUGCUUAACACAUGCCAGUCGAACGGAAAGGCCCUGCUUUUGUGGGGUGCUCGAGUGGCGAACGGGUGAGUAACACGUGAGUAACCUGCCCUUGACUUUGGGAUAACUUCAGGAAACUGGGGCUAAUACCGGAUAGGAGCUCCUGCUGCAUGGUGGGGGUUGGAAAGUUUCGGCGGUUGGGGAUGGCCUCGCGGCUGAGCAGCUUGUUGGUGGGGUAGUGGCUUACCAAGGCUUUGACGGGUAGCCGGCCUGAGAGGGUGACCGGCCACAUUGGGACUGAGAUGCGGCCCAGACUCCUGCGGGAGGCAGCAGUGGGGAAUAUUGCACAAUGGGCGGAAGCCUGAUGCAGCAACGCCGCGUGCGGGAUGACGGCCUUCGGGUUGGAAACCGCUUUCGCCUGUGACGAAGCGUGAGUGACGGUAAUGGGUAAAGAAGCACCGGCUAACUACGUG